Molecule: ribosomal RNA, 468 nt
Filed under: uncultured bacterium
Lineage: Bacteria
Description: partial 16S ribosomal RNA
Rfam family: Bacterial small subunit ribosomal RNA
Source: RNAcentral
GACGAACGCUGGCGGCGUGCUUAACACAUGCAAGUCGAACGGAAAGGCCCUGCUUUUGUGGGGUGCUCGAGUGGCGAACGGGUGAGUAACACGUGAGUAACCUGCCCUUGACUUUGGGAUAACUUCAGGAAACUGGGGCUAAUACCGGAUAGGAGCUCCUGCUGCAUGGUGGGGGUUGGAAAGUUUCGGCGGUUGGGGAUGGACUCGCGGCUUAUCAGCUUGUUGGUAGGGUAGUGGCUUACCGAGGCUUUGACGGGUAGCCGGCCUGAGAGGGUGACCGGCCACAUUGGGACUGAGAUACGGCCCAGACUCCUACGGGAGGCAGCAGUGGGGAAUAUUGCACAAUGGGCGGAAGCCUGAUGCAGCAACGCCGCGUGCGGGAUGACGGCCUUCGGGUUGUAAACCGCUUUCGCCUGUGACGAAGCGUGAGUGACGGUAAUGGGUAAAGAAGCACCGGCUAACUACGUG